This 205-nucleotide ribosomal RNA is filed under the name uncultured bacterium. RNAcentral's name for it is "partial 16S ribosomal RNA". It matches the Rfam family "Bacterial small subunit ribosomal RNA", at positions 1296 to 1500 of the family's 1533-position model. The record is from RNAcentral.
GAUCGCAGGCUGCAACCCGCCUGCGUGAAGUCGGAAUCGCUAGUAAUCGCGGAUCAGCAUGCCGCGGUGAAUACGUUCCCGGGCCUUGUACACACCGCCCGUCACACCAUGAGAGUCGGGAACACCCGAAGUCCAUAGCCUAACCGCAAGGAGGGCGCGGCCGAAGGUGGGUUCGAUAAUUGGGGUGAAGUCGUAACAAGGUAAC